This 106-nucleotide small nuclear RNA is filed under the name Castor canadensis (American beaver). The record is from RNAcentral. Lineage: Eukaryota; Metazoa; Chordata; Mammalia; Rodentia; Castoridae.
ACGUUCACUUAAGCAGCACAUAUACUGAAAUUGGAAUGGCACAGAGAGGAUUAAUAUGGCCGUGCACAAGGAUGGCAUGCAAAUUCCUGAAGCGUUACAUAUUUUG